RNAcentral lists this ribosomal RNA (246 nucleotides) under uncultured yeast. Its description in RNAcentral is "partial 26S ribosomal RNA". It matches the Rfam family "Eukaryotic large subunit ribosomal RNA", at positions 37 to 285 of the family's 3401-position model. The record is from RNAcentral. Lineage: Eukaryota; Fungi.
GCCAUAUCAAUAAGCGGAGGAAAAGAAACCAACAGGGAUUCCCUUAGUAACGGCGAGUGAACCGGGAAAAGCUCAAAUUUGAAAUCUGCCAACAGGCCGAGUUGUAAUUUGUAGAUGGCUACACUGCAUAAUAGUAGAUGCUCAAGUUCUUUGGAAAAAGACAUCAUGGAGGGUGACAAUCCCGUGAGGCAUGUUACUAGGAGCAUAUAGUGGGCUUUCUAAGAGUCGAGUUGUUUGGGAAUAAAA